AUGGAUGUACCUGGACUUCCUGGCCGACUGGGAUGCAGGCUGGAUGACGCAGCGCAGAGGACCGAGAAAACAUCUGGGAUGUGUGGGUGUGUCUGGCCCUCUCGAUUUGGAGUUGGGAGCGGCUGCCGGUUGGUCGCCCUGAGAAACUACCACGGACAGAGUGGACGGAGUAUGGCGAGGAUGGCGACCGUUCUCGAUACCCUACUGUCGCUUAUUCUUGGGACAAGGUUAAGGUCUUCUCGGGCAAGGGAAGUGCGAUGUACAAGGCCUUCACCAACGAGCUGGACAACCUGA
This 294-nucleotide ribosomal RNA is filed under the name Triticum aestivum (bread wheat). RNAcentral's name for it is "partial small subunit ribosomal RNA". The record is from RNAcentral. Lineage: Eukaryota; Viridiplantae; Streptophyta; Magnoliopsida; Poales; Poaceae.